UAAUUGAAGAGUUUGAUCAUGGCUCAGAUUGAACGCUGGCGGCAGGCCUAACACAUGCAAGUCGAACGGUAACAGGGAGCAGCUUGCUGCUCUGCUGACGAGUGGCGGACGGGUGAGUAAUGUCUGGGAAACUGCCUGAUGGAGGGGGAUAACUACUGGAAACGGUAGCUAAUACCGCAUAACGUCUACGGACCAAAGUGGGGGACCUUCGGGCCUCAUGCCAUCAGAUGUGCCCAGAUGGGAUUAGCUAGUAGGGGGGGUAA
This 263-nucleotide ribosomal RNA is filed under the name Cronobacter sakazakii. RNAcentral describes it as "partial 16S ribosomal RNA". It matches the Rfam family "Bacterial small subunit ribosomal RNA", at positions 1 to 260 of the family's 1533-position model. Lineage: Bacteria; Pseudomonadati; Pseudomonadota; Gammaproteobacteria; Enterobacterales; Enterobacteriaceae. The record is from RNAcentral.